GUGGGGAAUAUUGGACAAUGGGGGGAACCCUGAUCCAGCCAUGCCGCGUGUGUGAAGAAGGCCUUUUGGUUGUAAAGCACUUUAAGCGAGGAGGAGGCUACCGAGAUUAAUACUCUUGGAUAGUGGACGUUACUCGCAGAAUAAGCACCGGCUAACUCUGUGUCAGCAGCCGCGGUAAUACAGAGGGUGCAAGCGUUAAUCGGAUUUACUGGGCGUAAAGCGCGCGUAGGUGGCCAAUUAAGUCAAAUGUGAAAUCCCCGAGCUUAACUUGGGAAUUGCAUUCGAUACUGGUUGGCUAGAGUAUGGGAGAGGAUGGUAGAAUUCCAGGUGUAGCGGUGAAAUGCGUAGAGAUCUGGAGGAAUACCGAUGGCGAAGGCAGCCAUCUGGCCUAAUACUGACACUGAGGUGCGAAAGCAUGGGGAGCAAACAGGAUUAGAUACCCGGGUAGUCC
Molecule: ribosomal RNA, 451 nt
Filed under: uncultured bacterium
Lineage: Bacteria
Description: partial 16S ribosomal RNA
Rfam family: Bacterial small subunit ribosomal RNA
Source: RNAcentral